CACGUAGGGCGCAAGCGUUGUCCGGAAUUAUUGGGCGUAAAGAGCUCGUAGGCGGUCUGUUGCGUCCGCUGUGAAAACCCGGGGCUUAACCCCUGGCUUGCAGUGGAUACGGACAGACUAGAGGUAGGUAGGGGAGAAUGGAAUUCCCGGUGUAGCGGUGAAAUGCGCAGAUAUCGGGAGGAACACCGGUGGCGAAGGCGACUUUCUGGUCUGUAACUGACACUGAGGCGCGAAAGCGUGGGGAGCGAACAGG
RNAcentral lists this ribosomal RNA (253 nucleotides) under uncultured bacterium. RNAcentral describes it as "partial 16S ribosomal RNA". It matches the Rfam family "Bacterial small subunit ribosomal RNA", at positions 524 to 776 of the family's 1533-position model. The record is from RNAcentral.